UACAUAGGGUGCGAGCGUUACUCGGAUUUAUUGGGCGUAAAGAGCUCGUAGGCGGUUCGAUAAGUCGGGUGUGAAACCCCCAGGCUCAACCUGGGGCAGCCACCCGAAACUAUCGUGACUUGAGUUUGGUAGGGGAUCACGGAAUUCCAGGUGUAGCGGUGGAAUGCGCAGAUAUCUGGAGGAACACCAGUAGCGAAGGCGGUGAUCUGGGCCAACACUGACGCUGAGGAGCGAAAGCGUGGGGAGCGAACAGGAUUAGAUACCCUGGUAGUCCACGCCGUAAACGGUGGGCACUAGGUGUGGGGACUUUUCAACGGUUUCCGCGCCGCAGCUAACGCAUUAAGUGCCCCGCCUGGGGAGUACGGCCGCAAGGCUAAAACUCAAAG
Molecule: ribosomal RNA, 386 nt
Filed under: uncultured bacterium
Lineage: Bacteria
Description: bacterial SSU rRNA
Rfam family: Bacterial small subunit ribosomal RNA
Source: RNAcentral